Long non-coding RNA from Cimex lectularius (bed bug), 589 nucleotides. RefSeq lists it as uncharacterized. The transcript is spliced from 2 exons. Lineage: Eukaryota; Metazoa; Arthropoda; Insecta; Hemiptera; Cimicidae. The record is from RefSeq and is a predicted model, not a curated record.
UAUAUAAGCAGGGGCACUGCCUCUUUGCAGCAGACUCGUCAACCCGACGAGGUCUCACACAUCACUAAUACACGACUCCAGGAGACUCGUCAACCCGACGAGAUCUCACCAAAGGAACACCGUCGACGACAGCAAGUAUUCGCUGCAUCAGCCUGAUCUCGCCUUCUAACAGCCGACUUGGCUAUAAACGCCAAACGCUGCUCUCGGCUAAUCGCUGCAUCUCAGAACCUUCGGCCUCUGUGGAGUCAGCCGACUCACGGCCCCCGGACCUCAGCCAACGGUACUCUCACGGUCACAGACCAUCAACCAACGGCGCCAUGCAUCGGUCGCGGCCUCGAUUCGUCGGCCCUCCUACUCCACUACACAACACCGGCCCUUUUCAGGGCCACAAAACUCCCAGUCACUAAACUGGGAAAACCGUUCUUGAACCACACAAGUUUUGAUACCUCAUCCCCGAGAAAAAUUCUUCACUUCAUAAACAAUGAAUAUCUUCCUGGAAAUAUUUCGCAGACGUGUAAGUGUUAAAAGAGCAAAUCCUUACAACUCCAAAUGGAAAACAUGAAAAUAAACAUUGAAUUUUUUUAAUGUA